CAGAAGCAAAUGGGAGGAAAAGACAAAGAACACCGAACACAAUGGACUCAUUGGACUGGGAAGCUGUGAGAUGUGCAGAUGUUAAUGAGAUUGCCAACACAAUCAAAGAGCGUGGAAUGAACAACAUGCUUGCGGAACGUAUAAAGAAUUUUCUUAAUCGACUAGCUAGAGAACAUGGAAGCAUUGAUCUGGAAUGGCUAAGAGAUGUUCCACCAGACAAAGCAAAGGAGUA
This 232-nucleotide unclassified non-coding RNA is filed under the name Hevea brasiliensis (rubber tree). Lineage: Eukaryota; Viridiplantae; Streptophyta; Magnoliopsida; Malpighiales; Euphorbiaceae. The record is from RNAcentral.